This is a long non-coding RNA of Alligator sinensis (Chinese alligator), 473 nucleotides long. RefSeq lists it as uncharacterized. The transcript has 4 exons. The record is from RefSeq and is a predicted model, not a curated record. NCBI's taxonomy places the organism in Eukaryota, Metazoa, Chordata, Crocodylia, Alligatoridae.
AGGACCACCCGAGCUGGGUGCCUGUGGGCGGAUGCUGCCUGUGGGGGAGGGGACCACUGCUACGGAGGGAAGCGAAGUCCCCCCCACAGCCCAGGGACUGCUUCUCCCGCUGGCAAGUUGCCCUCCCUUCCCCACUGGAGAAAUAGCAUCUAAUGAGGUAGGAUGUUGCCUACGAAAACACACCUCUCUAAACAAGUUACUCUCUGAAGUGCCACCCUACCCUGCUUUCUCCUUUACUUCAGACUAACUUGGGUAACUACCUCUCUCUCAUCUCCUGCAGUGAAUACAUAAGAAGUUAUAACAGCAAGUAAGGAAAGAAGAAUGAAGUACCAGCUUGGAAGGAGUAAGAGAAUGGGAUAUCAAGUCUUCUGCACCCUGGUUCUCUUGAACCAAAUGUUGAGACUUUCUGGCCAGAUCAAGCCCCCUCUCCUGUACAGCCAUGUUGGGGUCUGUAGUUGGAUGGGGCUUGCCAU